CGCAUUUAGUAGUUGUUAAUAAUAAAUAGUUUAGUUAGAUGUUUGAAUGUUUGUGAUUUCCGUUAUGCAUGAUUAGAGACGUUGUGGAUCACUGGUUUUGGUUUUAUGGAUAUUAAGUUCUCGGAUUUGUGUAUUUAUACAUAUUUACGCAUCGUGGUUUUCUACCCCUCGAGGUAGUCGGUUUUCAAAAUAAAGUUUUCGUGUGGGAAACAGUUUUAAAAAGGUUUUCGAAUGAUUUGCAUGAAUGAAUGAAUUAGAGUUUAAAAACAAAAGCUUCCGUGUGGGGAGCACUUUUAAAUAGGAUGUUUGUUGUAUUGUGCAUUACAUUAUCCAGCGCCUAAGGAGUGCUUAGAGGCAUGCAUCAUCUCUAAGGAUCGUUAGUUAUAUGGAAAUACAUAUCAUGAAUUGGUUGUUGAUUGGUAAAUGUAGGUUGUGGUUGAGAUCCUGUUGUAUAGUUGGUAUGCCGUGCAAAUACAAAGGAGACUCUGUCCGAGUGGAUAGAGGAACUUUGUAUUUGUGGCGGAUCUGUACGUCACGUGGGCCAGGUUUAAAAAAAAAAAAAAUUUGGCACAUCUUCCGCAACUCUGUUUCAAAAUGGUAAUGAAUUUUUAAAAAGGCUUUUAAAAUCGGCCCCGGGGUGUGACAGAUUAAGAUGGUAUCAGAGCGUGAAACAACUACAACUGCAUUUACAAGUUUUCUAACUGAACCACUGGUUAGGUUGACCCAUAGGAAGACCUAAGGUAUAUAGGCACGUGAGUGCGGUUUUGGGUUUGAGUCCCGGUGAGUUUGUAUGUCGAGUCGUUUGGUUUGCUUGACGGUGUUUUCUGUUGCAGAUGGCUCGUGGUAGGCCCCCUCGUCCGGGUCGUGGUGGUGGACGCGUCGGUGCGGAAACGCCCGGCAGUACUCGUGCUCCUCCGAGUGGGGGUGUUGGGGAGCAGUUGGGCGCGGAGCCGCUGAGUGGUACUCGGACUCAGCAGCUCGAGGCCCAGGUAGCUGAUUUGAGGGGUCAGCUGGCGACCCUCUCUGGUUUGUUUCAGCAGUUCUUGCAGCAGCAGGCUGCGGCUACUGCUACCCCGGUCCCACCUUCGGCACAGGACACUCCGGUGAACGCGGAUCCUCCCGCAACGCACGCGCCUGCCGUAGCUCCAGCCGUGACUACCACGACGACGACGGCCACCACGACAGUUUUCGCUGGGGGUACUGAUACCCCUGCAACGGAAGGCGCCCGCAUUAGGGCAAGGCUGGUGGAGUUUCGAAAGUUCGAUCCGCUGAAGUUCGCAGAAAAGAGCGACGACGCCUGGGUGAUCGAGCAUUGGGUUACUCAUAUGGAGAAACUGUUUUGUGAUCUACACAUCGAGGAGCUGGAUCGCGUCCCUCUAGCUGCUCACUGUCUUGAGAGGGAUGCGUAUUCGUGGUGGAUCAGCUACUUCGAGCGCAAACUUGGGAGCAUCUAUCCAAGCUAGGAGGAGUUCCGGAGACUCCUUUACGAGCAGUACUUCAAGGAUACCACUAAGCAGAAUCUGGAGCGCGAGCUAGAGCGUCUCAAGCAAGGCAGUCGUACCGUAGCAGAGUAUGAGUGAGACUUCUCUCGUAUUAUUGCACUGAUUCCAUUCGUAGUUCGUGAUGAGUAUCACAAGGCAAGGCUGUUCGCGAGAGGGCUAAGGCCCAGUAUUCAACUUCUUAUCGCGUCCCAUGGCGCUUUGACGUUCGACGAGAGUCUGGAUCGGGCACUAAUGGUGCAGAACGAUAUGGAUGAGGCUCAAAUCAAACAAGAUGCAUUCGAGAAGACUGAGGAUAGGAAGCAAGCACAGGAGAGUUUUGUUGGUGGUCAAUCGAGCAAUGGGCGACCACCCAAGCAUCACAAAACGCAGUCCGGAUUGAGCAGUUCCCCCGCUACAUCUCAAAGGCAGAGCACCCCACCUUGUGUCUUCUAUGGCAAGGCUCAUAGAGUUUAUGAGUGCCCAAAGCGCCACAAUCGUUGUUACAAGUGUGGCCAACGCGGACAUCUUAAGGCAGAUUGCACCAAUAGAGCAGGAUCAGAGUCUGCAGCAGCGUCUACUCCAGCAGCUCUAUGGCAGGAUCGUGGCAGUACGGCGCACCCUUCGCCUGGACGUCUAUCGUUAUCCCGUCAAGUGAAGGAGGUACACCAGACAACUGACGGACGCGCUUACAUGAUGACACGUCAGGAAGAUGAUCAGUCGGCUGACGUGGUCGCAGGUAUAAUUUUGUUUAUCGUAGUAAACAGCAUGCUUUUCGUUUUAAUGCAUCUCCUCCUGGCAUUGCAUGCAUGUAUUGUUCUAGUUCGUUGUGUAUAGCUAAACUUUCUUUAAGGGGGGGAUGAUGUAAGGACCGAGAUUUUGGAAGUGUAGCUAAACUCUCUGUUGACGAUGUUUUUGUGUGUAAUUUAAUUACAAAGCACUCGUCAAGUUUUGGGAGAAAACGAGUUAGAACGGAGAUUCUACGCGAUUUCCAAAUUUCACUUAAAGUGAAUAGUAACUUGUUUUUUCGGAGAGGUCAAUGCGUAGAGGUGGCUUCUAGCUCGUACCGGACUCCGUUCAUAGCAGUCCAAUAGCUCGUUUCGACCGGUUUAGCUGUUCUGGAACUAAUGGCGCUGACGAAUUUUGAGUUUGACGCACGAAUUUCGAGAAAAUCCGAAAAUACGUGUUUUAUAUGUAUUUGUGCGUAGUUCUUCUGUUGGAGAGAUGGAUCGGAUUUCGUCGUGAAUCUGCGACGGAUUGAGGCGAAACGAAAUCGUAGCUUUAUUGUCUCUAUUGUGCUGAUCGCACUGGUGUGAUCCGUUUGCAAAUCUGACGGGCGGAUCUGCGGAGAUUACGCGUUGAUCGAGGAGAGGUCGGUGAUGGCAAAACGGUAUUUUUGCAAAAGUUGCGAUAUUUUAUGUAUCGUUUUGCGUGAAACCGGACGUGGAAGUGUGUUCGCGCAUUUUACACACGCUGAGAAGGACUCAGUAUUAAAUACUAAGGAUUGGGGGGCUAACUCGCAAAGUUGCACCUUGGUAUAUAUAUAGCUCCUAGGGUUUUUGAUCCCCUAACCCUAACCCUAGCCCUAGCCGCACCUUGCCACCUUCUACUCCCUCUCUUGAGUGCACGGCGUGCGCCCCAGUCGCCGGCGCACGCUGCCGGUCGCCGGAGAAAGAGGUUCCAUCUCCCUGUAGCUCCCUCUCCAUCUCUCUCUCUCCAUCUCUCUCUUUUCUUCUCGGUUUGGAGCCUUGGUCGAGGCUGCAUUGCCUUCCUGCACCUUGCCGGCGUCGCCUCGACACCGUCAGUGUUUACCCCACCGGCCGCCGCCUCCCCCGAGCGCUACCGCCGUCGCCCCAGCACCCUGCUGCCAGCUAGGGCAGUUUUGGCCGAGCUGAACUCCAUCUGCUAGCCACGCGCCGCCGCCGCCUGAGACCACCCCGGCCACCUUCCCCGGAGCUUAGGCGACCACCCCCGGCCGGUCGCCGCCGCCCCUGCAGGCUGCCGUCGCCGCCUCGGCCAGCUCGCGGCCGCCCCAGCCUACUCGGGCUUAGCGGACCCGCCUUCUCUCCUCUCGCGCCGUCGCCGCCCGGAGCCACCCAUGCCGCCUCCCGCCGACCUCAGGCGACCCACCGCCGCCGCCCCGUGGUGCCCGGGCUGCUGCCGUGGCCACCAUUGCUCUGGAACACGAGCUUCAACUCGUCCGCGCUUGUCUCUUUCCGCCAUCGCCGCCGCCGCUCCUCGCCGCCAACUGAGGUGAGCACCACACUCCCUACCUCCCCCGCAGCCAUUCCUGGCCCGCACGCACCACGCCGUGCCACCGGAAGCCGGCCGGAGCAAGCUUGCUCCGGCCAAGCCCGAAAUAGGGCUAUUCCUUGGCGGUUUGCUGUUCUGAGCUUCCCAAGCCUCCCUGAUCUCUACAGAAGGGAGCAUGGUGAUCGUGGCAAUUUUCUGAUCAUCGUGCUCACCUUAGUUUCUAUCGGGGAGACUCCUUUCCGCUGUUUCGGCGGUGUCGCUCCAUUAGAGCCUUUUUGGCUGCUAUUUCAGGAUUAUGCACAUUUUUACGGCGAUCCGAGGCUGUUCCGAUGCCUCUGCAGGUGAGCACGGUGAUCAUGGAUCAGUGUUGAUUUCGGUUCGGAUUUCUUCCGAAAUUCGCCGAAAGAACGCGGUUUCGGUUUGGAUUUCUUCCGACGUGGUUUGGUUAUCCUGUAAAUUAUCGCUGAGCCUUGUUGGCUGGUCGCCAUCAUUAUUUUGUGGGUUCGGUGAUGAUGGGUGAGCGACGAUCGGUUCCGGUGUCGAAAUAGACACUUUCGGGAACCCGAAUUCGUAUAUUAUCCGGCAAUAAUUGUGUAGUGGUGUUAUCUUGUGUUUGCUGCCAAAACAUUCAAAUCGGAGUGUUUUGGGGCAGCAGGUGACUCGUGACACGAAUCGGUGAGUUUCGGGACACUUAGUGGGUCCCGAUGGCAUCCCGUUGUGUUUUUCGGGACUUCCGGUGAGUUACGGUGAUCGGUUUUGGGAAACCGAUUACGGGGAUCUUGUGUGGGGGGUUUGUGAGUCUCGUGCUUUGGCUUAGUGAUUUGGAUACUGACCUGAUGGAUCUUCUUAGGUCCGGUAGACUCUGUGCGUACCCAGUGUUCCAACGCGACAGUGACAGGUGGGUGUUUCGAGCUGGUAGUCGGUGAGAUCGUUUCACCCUUCCUCUAUUCUUUCAUAUCAGUAUCGUAGUCUCUACAUGUCUUUGCUUUGAUUAUCAUUUGUAUAUCUUACUUUGUUAGUUGCAUUUUUUUAGUUGUUGAUAGACAUGUAGAGCAGGUUGCAUAUAUAUAAAUAUAUAUAUAUAUAUACUGUAUAUCUGUGGACCUUGGAUCCAGGCAACACACUGACUCCUUUGUCGUGUGUUUCGAUCUGGUUGAUCGUGGUUCGACGUUGUACGCCCUUGCACCUGGCUUCGGCCAAGGCACCGGUCUCUUUUUGCCGGUUUUCGUUUUGAUCAUAUCAGCAUGAUUUAGUCAUAGCACUGUGUAUUCUAGACACCUUGUUGGUUUGGCCACCAACCAAGGGGUGUACGUAUCCGGAUAGGUCGUCGGUGACGCAUGAAUAAGUUGGCAGUGUCUGCUCUGUGACAGGUAACGCUUGAGGUCUGCGGACCAAUAUGGCAGCAUAAGAUUGGGUUUGGUUUGGACUAUUUACCCUUGAGGCAUCCGAUCAGUUGAGUUUUUUGUUCCAGUAGUAGUUUCGUUCUUGCUCAGUUAUUAUCCUGUUUCUAUUACUACUGUAGUUGCUCUUAUAUCACAUCAUACUUAUAACUGUAGUUCUGUUUUAUAUCAGCAUAUAUAUUUGUUUAUCAAUCUCCUUUGGUUUCCGGUGAUUACGGUUUGCCUUCGUGGCUCUGUCGUACCCACUGAGAAACCAUGGUUGCGGUUUCUCACCCCCCAUUCCCCCCAGGUGACAUGGACGAGGAGUUAGAUUUUGGGCUCGACGGGAGGACGAUCUAGCUAGUCGGCAGUAACGACCGUCACCCUGGUUAUAUUUCUUCCCGUAUUUAGUAGUUGUUAAUAAUAAAUAGUUCAGUUAGAUGUUUGAAUGUUUGUGAUUUUUGUUAUGCAUGAUUAGAGACUUUGUGGAUCACUGAUUUUGGUUUUAUGGAUAUUCAGUUAUCAGAUUUGUGUAUUUAUACAUAUUUACGCAUUGUGGUUUUCUGCCCCUCGAGGUAGUUGAUUUUCAAAAUAGAGUUUCCGUGUGGGAAACAGUUUUAAAAAUAUUUUCGAAUGGUUUUCAUGAAUGAAUGAAUUAGAGUUUAAAAACAAAAGCUUCCGUGUGGGGAGCACUUUUAAAUAGGAUGUUUGUUGUAUUGUGCAUUGCAUCAUCCAGCGCCUAAGGAGUGCUUAGAGGUAUGCAUCAUUUCUAAGGAUCGUUAGCUGUAUGAAAAUGCAUAUUAUGAAUUGGUUGUUGAUUGGUAAAUGUAGGUUGUGGUUGAGAUCCUGUUGUAUAGUUGGUACGCCGUGCAAAUACAAAGGAGACUCUGUCCGAGUGUAUAGAGGAACUUUGUAUUUGUGGCGGAUCUGUACGUCACGUGGGCCAGAUUGAAAAAAAAAAAAAAUUUGGUACAUCUUCCGUAACUCUGUUUCAAAAUGGUAAUGAAUUUUAAAAAGACUUUUAAAAUCGGCCCCGGGGCGUGACAGUACAAAUUAUAAUUGACAAUACUAGGGCUGAAAGAAGAAUUAUAGAGCAAUAAUUUUGUCAUAUAUAUAUUUUUUUUGAGGAAAAGGUAGCACGCUAGCUACUUCAUUCAUUGGAACGGUGAAUUAAACUACAUGGGUGAGGCAGCAAGGCCUCAAAAGGGGCGA
This 6322-nucleotide long non-coding RNA is filed under the name Ananas comosus (pineapple). RNAcentral's name for it is "long non-coding RNA (ACOM_LNC023981)". The record is from RNAcentral. Lineage: Eukaryota; Viridiplantae; Streptophyta; Magnoliopsida; Poales; Bromeliaceae.